Molecule: ribosomal RNA, 650 nt
Filed under: uncultured marine bacterium
Lineage: Bacteria
Description: bacterial SSU rRNA
Rfam family: Bacterial small subunit ribosomal RNA
Source: RNAcentral
AUGUGGAAGAGUGGCGAACGGGUGAGGAACACGUAAGAAUCGGCCCCUCGGUCGGGGACAACUCUUGGAAACGAGAGCUAAUACGCGAUACGCUGUGGAGUGAAAGAAUUUCGCCGAGGGAUGAUCUUGCGUCUGAUUAGCUAGUUGGUGUGGUAAUGGCAUACCAAGGCGACGAUCAGUAGCUGGUCUGAGAGGAUGAACAGCCACAUUGGAACUGAGACACGGUCCAAACUCCAACGGGAGGCAGCAGUGGGGAAUUUUCCGCAAUGGACGAAAGUCUGACGGAGCGACGCUGCGUGAAGGAUGACGGCCUGCGGGUUGUAAACUUCUUUUCUCGAAGAAGAAGCUCUGACGGUAUUCGAGGAAUAAGCAUCGGCUAACUCCGUGCCAGCAGCCGCGGUAAUACGGAGGAUGCAAGUGUUAUUCGGAAUGAUUGGGCGUAAAGCGUCUGUAGGCUGUAUAGAAAGUCUUUUGUUAAAUGCCUCGGCUCAACCGAGAUCCAGCAAAGGAAACUUCUAUACUUGAGGGAAGUAGAGGUACAGGGAAUUCCCGGUGGAGCGGUGAAAUGCGUAGAUAUCGGGAGGAACACCAAUAUGGCGAAGGCACUGUACUGGGCUUUACCUGACGCUCAGAGACGAAAGCUAAAGGAG